GUCGAACGGUAACAGGUCCUUCGGGAUGCUGACGAGUGGCGGACGGGUGAGGAAUGCAUCGGAAUCUGCCUGUUUGUGGGGGAUAACGCAUGGAAACGUGCGCUAAUACCGCAUACGUCCUUUUGUCGGGAGAUGAUUGGAGAAAGUGGGGGACCUUCGGGCCUCACGCGAACAGAUGAGCCGAUGUCGGAUUAGCUGGUUGGUGGGGUAAAGGCCUACCAAGGCGACGAUCCGUAGCUGGUCUGAGAGGAUGAUCAGCCACACUGGAACUGAGACACGGUCCAGACUCCUACGGGAGGCAGCAGUGGGGAAUAUUGGACAAUGGGGGCAACCCUGAUCCAGCCAUGCCGCGUGUGUGAAGAAGGCCCUUGGGUUGUAAAGCACUUUUGUUGGGGAAGAAAAGUUUUCGGUGAAUAACUGGAGACGCUGACGGUACCCAAAGAAUAAGCACCGGCUAACUUCGUGCCAGCAGCCGCGGUAAUACGAAGGGUGCAAGCGUUACUCGGAAUCACUGGGCGUAAAGGGUGCGCAGGCGGCCUGCCAAGUCUGAUGUGAAAGCCCUGGGCUCAACCUGGGAACGGCAUUGGAAACUGGUGGGCUGGAGUACGGUAGAGGGUGG
This 619-nucleotide ribosomal RNA is filed under the name uncultured Lysobacterales bacterium. RNAcentral describes it as "bacterial SSU rRNA". It matches the Rfam family "Bacterial small subunit ribosomal RNA", at positions 61 to 661 of the family's 1533-position model. Lineage: Bacteria; Pseudomonadati; Pseudomonadota; Gammaproteobacteria; Lysobacterales. The record is from RNAcentral.